AGCGAACGCUGGCGGCAGGCCUAACACAUGCAAGUCGAACGAACCUUUCGGGGUUAGUGGCGGACGGGUGAGUAACACGUGGGAACGUGCCUUUAGGUUCGGAAUAACUCAGGGAAACUUGUGCUAAUACCGAAUGUGCCCUUCGGGGGAAAGAUUAAUCGCCUUUAGAGCGGCCCGUGUCUGAUUAGCUAGUUGGUUGAGGUAAUGGCUCACCAAGGCGACGAUCAGUAGCUGGUCUGAGAGGAUGAUCAGCCACAUUGGGACUGAGACACGGCCCAAACUCCUACGGGAGGCAGCAGUGGGGAAUCUUGCGCAAUGGGCGAAAGCCUGACGCAGCCAUGACGCGUGAAUGAUGAAGGUCUUAGGAUUGUAAAAUUCUUUCAACGGGGACGAUAAUGACGGUACCCGGAGAAGAAGCCCCGGCUAACUUCGUG
Molecule: ribosomal RNA, 434 nt
Filed under: uncultured bacterium
Lineage: Bacteria
Description: partial 16S ribosomal RNA
Rfam family: Bacterial small subunit ribosomal RNA
Source: RNAcentral